RNAcentral lists this ribosomal RNA (288 nucleotides) under Vibrio sp. SR2.2. Its description in RNAcentral is "partial 16S ribosomal RNA". It matches the Rfam family "Bacterial small subunit ribosomal RNA", at positions 78 to 357 of the family's 1533-position model. Lineage: Bacteria; Pseudomonadati; Pseudomonadota; Gammaproteobacteria; Vibrionales; Vibrionaceae. The record is from RNAcentral.
ACUUGUUCCUUGGGUGGCGAGCGGCGGACGGGUGAGUAAUGCCUGGGAAAUUGCCCGGUAGAGGGGGAUAACCAUUGGAAACGAUGGCUAAUACCGCAUAACCUCGCAAGAGCAAAGCAGGGGACCUUCGGGCCUUGCGCUACCGGAUAUGCCCAGGUGGGAUUAGCUAGUUGGUGAGGUAAGGGCUCACCAAGGCGACGAUCCCUAGCUGGUCUGAGAGGAUGAUCAGCCACACUGGAACUGAGACACGGUCCAGACUCCUACGGGAGGCAGCAGUGGUCAUAGCUU